Molecule: ribosomal RNA, 753 nt
Filed under: Lysinibacillus sp. TISAE1
Lineage: Bacteria; Bacillati; Bacillota; Bacilli; Caryophanales; Bacillaceae
Description: bacterial SSU rRNA
Rfam family: Bacterial small subunit ribosomal RNA
Source: RNAcentral
CGGCGUGCUAUACAUGCAGUCGAGCGAACAGAGAAGGAGCUUGCUCCUUUGACGUUAGCGGCGGACGGGUGAGUAACACGUGGGCAACCUACCUUAUAGUUUGGGAUAACUCCGGGAAACCGGGGCUAAUACCGAAUAAUCUGUUUCACCUCAUGGUGAAACACUGAAAGACGGUUUCGGCUGUCGCUAUAGGAUGGGCCCGCGGCGCAUUAGCUAGUUGGUGAGGUAACGGCUCACCAAGGCGACGAUGCGUAGCCGACCUGAGAGGGUGAUCGGCCACACUGGGACUGAGACACGGCCCAGACUCCUACGGGAGGCAGCAGUAGGGAAUCUUCCACAAUGGGCGAAAGCCUGAUGGAGCAACGCCGCGUGAGUGAAGAAGGAUUUCGGUUCGUAAAACUCUGUUGUAAGGGAAGAACAAGUACAGUAGUAACUGGCUGUACCUUGACGGUACCUUAUUAGAAAGCCACGGCUAACUACGUGCCAGCAGCCGCGGUAAUACGUAGGUGGCAAGCGUUGUCCGGAAUUAUUGGGCGUAAAGCGCGCGCAGGUGGUUUCUUAAGUCUGAUGUGAAAGCCCACGGCUCAACCGUGGAGGGUCAUUGGAAACUGGGAGACUUGAGUGCAGAAGAGGAUAGUGGAAUUCCAAGUGUAGCGGUGAAAUGCGUAGAGAUUUGGAGGAACACCAGUGGCGAAGGCGACUAUCUGGUCUGUAACUGACACUGAGGGCGCGAAAGCGUGGGGAGCAAACAGG